Molecule: ribosomal RNA, 495 nt
Filed under: uncultured bacterium
Lineage: Bacteria
Description: partial 16S ribosomal RNA
Rfam family: Bacterial small subunit ribosomal RNA
Source: RNAcentral
GACGAACGCUGGCGGCGUGCCUAAUACAUGCAAGUAGAACGCUGAAGGAGGAGCUUGCUCUUCUGGAUGAGUUGCGAACGGGUGAGUAACGCGUAGGUAACCUGCCUCGUAGCGGGGGACAACUAUUGGAAACGAUAGCUAAUACCGCAUAAGAGUAGAUGUUGCAUGACAUUUGCUUAAAAGGUGCAAUUGCAUCACUACCAAAUGGACCUGCGUUGUAUUAGCUAGUUGGUGGGGUAACGGCUCACCAAGGCGAGGAUACAUAGCCGACCGGAGAGGGUGAUGGGCCACUCUGGGACGGAGACACUGCCCAGACUGCUACGGGAGGCAGCAGUAGUGGAUCUGCUGCCAUGGAUGGAAGUGAGAACGGGCAAGGCCGCGGGGGUGAAGAAGGUGCUCGGAUCGUAGAGCUUUGUUGUAAGGGGAGAGCGGGUGUGGGAGUGGACUGUUCACGCUGUGACGGUAUCUUACCAGAAAGGCACGGCUAACUACGUG